GAUGAAGAACGUAGCGAAAUGCGAUAAGUAAUGUGAAUUGCAGAAUUCAGUGAAUCAUCGAAUCUUUGAACGCACAUUGCGCCCGCCAGCAUUCUGGCGGGCAUGCCUGUUCGAGCGUCAUUUCAACCCUCGAGCCCCCCCGGGGGCCUCGGUGUUGGGGGACGGCACACCAGCCGCCCCCGAAAUGCAGUGGCGACCUCGCCGCAGCCUCCCCUGCGUAGUAGCACACACCUCGCACCGGAGCGCGGAGACGGUCACGCCGUAAAACACCCAACUUCUGAAUGUUGACCUCGAAUCAGGUAGGAAUACCCGCUGAACUUAAGCAUAUCAAUAAGCGGAGGA
Molecule: unclassified non-coding RNA, 342 nt
Filed under: soil metagenome
Description: partial contains 5.8S ribosomal RNA, internal transcribed spacer 2, and large subunit ribosomal RNA
Rfam family: 5.8S ribosomal RNA (bases 1-120)
Source: RNAcentral